RNAcentral lists this ribosomal RNA (389 nucleotides) under uncultured bacterium. RNAcentral's name for it is "bacterial SSU rRNA". It matches the Rfam family "Bacterial small subunit ribosomal RNA", at positions 28 to 412 of the family's 1533-position model. The record is from RNAcentral.
GAUGAACGCUAGCGGCAGGCUUAACACAUGCAAGUCGAACGGCAGCACAGGUAGCAAUACUGGGUGGCGAGUGGCGCACGGGUGCGUAACACGUAGGUAAUCAACCCUCUGGUUGGGGAUAACACUUCGAAAGGAGUGCUAAUACCCGGUAUGGCGCAGCGGUCUUCGGAUCGCGGCGAGAAAGACCCGCAAGGGUUGCCAGAGGACGAGCCUGCGGCCCAUCAGCUAGUUGGCGAGGUAACGGCUCACCAAGGCGAAGACGGGUAGCUGGUCUGAGAGGAUGAUCAGCCACACUGGAACUGAGACACGGUCCAGACUCCUACGGAGGCAGCAGUGGGGAAUAUUGCCGNAUGGCGAAGCUGACGCAGCCACGCCGCGUGAGCGAUGAA